AGCAAAGGACGGACUGUUUGAGAUAAAGACAUUUAAUUGACACAUCUGCUGAUUCACAGAGACCUGCAUGUUCUUUAGCUGUGCUAUUCCACCACAAAGCCUGUCUUGUGGUAGAGUUGUUGCUGCUGUGCCACUCUGAUGCAAGGAACAUUAUCUGGACUUGUGCUGGUAACUGCAGGGCACAACCCCUGGCUUUGUCAUCUUCACCAUUUCAGCGGUCCUUCAGACCCACAUACAUGUGCAGGGCACAGAAAAGUAAUUUCCACCUUGGGGGCCCAUGAAAUUUGUCAUGCAGCGUGCAGUUAUAGGUCUUCCUGCAGGCUAUUUGGAGUCCUUGCAGCUGUGAGGGAAUUGCAUGGCAGAUCCAGGUAAGCCUGGCUGAAAUAGAAUGUUCAGCAGGGAAGGCUCAGAUAUUGGGAACCCUUCCUGUUGGAGUGCUCGUAAGCUACAGGAUCAUUUUCCUCUUGGUUGUGUUGUUUUCUGUUUCCUAUACAGGCUGGAUAUCACUUAGCUGCACAUCCCAUAGAGGAAUGGGACCUUCCUGGACCCCCUGCCCCCAGUGACACAAGGAUGUCCAGGACUUUAAUUUCUACCAAAAUGUGUGAUGACAAUAAUGAAAAACUGAAGCUGUCCUAACACUGUAGCAAUCAGGUAUUGAAGCUUUGACACCAGCGUUAACUGUUAGGCACAGACCAUUUUGAUAGCAGUUAUCACAUGGGUAAAACCAUUGCCUCCCUCCCUCUCACCUGCUUCAUCCCUUUAACAAAAGGUGUCUAUAUGUAUCAAAGUUUGUGCUGAGAAAGUCCUGCUUAGUCAUGAUGUGAGUAAUGACUUCCAGAUCUGAGAGUGGAGGGACUCUUAUGCUUGGAACAAGGGCUUGCCUUACUGGCAUUUCUCUUCAGAAUAUGUAGCAGAUCUUUGAUAGAUAGAUCUGUGAUAGAAUGUAAUUAAAUUUAUCAGGUUCCAAAAUUCAGAGAAAAUCUAAUACUUCCACGAUUUUCCGUAGCUCCACAAGAAUGUUUGACAGAAUUUGCAAUGCUUAUUAUAGCAGUGGAUAUCAGUCUGUGGAGAGCAUUUUGAAGAGCAGAGUGCUACCAUAGGUAACAGCAAGGUGAGCUUGCUACCAGAGCACUGGGACAGUGCAGAGAGUGUUACUCUUUCUAAAACACUCCACAGGCCAACAGAACACAGCCAAGCAGACAAAUAGUUGUGUUUCUCUCCUUUGUAUUAAGCUGUGUAGUAUCCCUCAGAAGGCCCUGCAGCAAAGAAGGAUUGAUGCAUGUAACAGUGAAUUUCAUCCUGCUCCUCGAGGACGGGAGGCAAUUUCUGUGCCUUUCCUCUUCAUUUUAUGUGGUUCACCAUGCCCUUUGCUUCAUGCUUUUCAAGUCCUUGAGCAUAAUCAAAAUAGUACAUGCUGUCUGUAACCUCAAAGUAAGGCAGAUAAUUUAGAAAAUGUUUCCACAUAUCCUUUCUUCCCUGAUUUUUCAUUUGACCUCAGAUUAUUUUGGUUUCUUUUUGGCAUCUAAUAUCAAAGACUACAGCUGAAGUCAGCCCUACAAAAGAUAUGUGAAGAGCAACAUCACAUUUUCAGACUGAGAAGGGUUCUUGUCUGGAUGGUAUAAUUUUGAAGAAGUCUCAUUUGCCUGCAAUAAAAUAUUAAUUCAAUGCUUUCCA
Parus major (Great Tit) is the source of this 1674-nucleotide long non-coding RNA. NCBI's taxonomy places the organism in Eukaryota, Metazoa, Chordata, Aves, Passeriformes, Paridae. The record is from Ensembl.